Molecule: long non-coding RNA, 946 nt
Organism: Lathyrus oleraceus (garden pea)
Lineage: Eukaryota; Viridiplantae; Streptophyta; Magnoliopsida; Fabales; Fabaceae
Exons: 3
Source: RefSeq, a predicted model, not a curated record
CAGGAGAAUGAAACGAAGGAAUGAUAAACGGCGGCCGGAAAAGUGCUUCCCCCAUAAGCGCUUCUGCACUAUUCGAAAUCCUCAGGAUAAACAAGAAAUCGAUUCGCUCGCGGUAUUCAAUCCACUCUCAAACAACGAAUCGAAACAUCCUCGCAUACGAUUAGAGAAGUUAAAAGGAGAAAGAGGACCUACCAGUUCACGUUCGCGCCUCCGACUUGUCUCUAUCGCUUCCGAUUCGCGUUUGUGAUGAAGAAUGAAAGAUCGUUGCUGAUUCGUGACGAAGAUUGCGAAGAGGUCGACAAAGGAUGAAGAUGCUGAUACGUUCGUGACGAAGACGAUCUUCCGCCGCUGAUGGAGAGUGAAAUCGAUGAUGCUUUUCUUUCCCCGGAGAAAACGCGAAUGGUUCUUGGAGGUUCGAAAAUGGAGGGUUAGGUUUGUUGAAUGAAUGGAAGUUAUGAAGGUUGAUGUUCAAUGGUGGUUGGUUGAAGCGAUUGUGAAGUCAUGGUUGUUAGAACGGUUGAGGGUUGUGAGAAGUGGUGGAGUUGAUGGUGGUUUGAAGGUUGGUUGAUGAUGGUUGAAGAUGAUGGAGUGAAGUUUUGGUUGAAGAAGAAGAAUCUCGGUUGGGAAGAGGAAGUUGAAGUGGUGGUUCUUGAUGUUGAAGAUUGGAGAAGAAAGUGAAGGUUACGGUUACGGUGAUAGAAGGUGAAGACUAUGGAGUUUGGUGAAGGAAUUGAAGAGAGGAAGCAGAAACCGAAUUUGAGAGAGGGAAGGAGAAUUUAUAGAGUUUGAGUUUUUUUGGUUAUAGUUUGUUAGUUAGUUGUGAAUGAAAAAUUCUGUUAUGGAUUGGUGAUGGCUCGCGUUUAGCUGCGGUUUACCGGCUUAAUUUGCUUUUGCUGGAGCUUAUUGCUUAUGCCUCUUUCACAUUAUGCAGAAUUUUGGUUUUGUA